AAAAACAAAGACUCAUACGGACUUCGACUUCACUAUCAAAGCUUUGAGAAGCAAGAAGAAGCUUGGUUAGUGUUUUGGAUUCGAAUAUGACUUGAUGUCAUGUGUAUGACUC
RNAcentral lists this small RNA (112 nucleotides) under Arabidopsis thaliana (thale cress). Its description in RNAcentral is "ATSL269650". The record is from RNAcentral. Lineage: Eukaryota; Viridiplantae; Streptophyta; Magnoliopsida; Brassicales; Brassicaceae.